UGGGGAAUAUUGCGCAAUGGGCGGAAGCCUGACGCAGCAACGCCGCGUGGGGGAUGAAGGCCUUCGGGUUGUAAACCUCUUUCAGCGCGGAAGAAGCGUGAGUGACGGUAGGCGCAGAAGAAGCACCGGCUAACUACGUGCCAGCAGCCGCGGUAAUACGUAGGGUGCAAGCGUUGUCCGGAAUUAUUGGGCGUAAAGAGCUCGUAGGCGGUUUGUAGCGUCGGGGGUGAAAACUCGGGGCUUAACUCCGGGCUUGCAGUGGGUACGGGCAGACUGGAGUGCGGUAGGGGAGACUGGAAUUCCUGGUGUAGCGGUGAAAUGCGCAGAUAUCAGGAGGAACACCGGUGGCGAAGGCGGGUCUCUGGGCCGUAACUGACGCUGAGGAGCGAAAGCGUGGGGAGCGAACA
RNAcentral lists this ribosomal RNA (407 nucleotides) under uncultured prokaryote. RNAcentral's name for it is "bacterial SSU rRNA". It matches the Rfam family "Bacterial small subunit ribosomal RNA", at positions 355 to 774 of the family's 1533-position model. The record is from RNAcentral.